UGCACCCUGCUUUGUUCGUGAUAAGCCUUUUUAAACCCACAUUUAAAAUAAGGGAUUCCGACCUCUUUAGGUGAAUUGCAGGCCUCCCGUUGCGCCCCGCGCGUUAAUGGAUGUUGGAAGCAGAGAAGCUUGAAGGAGGAAACCCACCUGCCGAGUCGUGCAGGUUUUAAUGGGCUUACACGGCACGGUGGGGUCGUU
RNAcentral lists this non-coding RNA (198 nucleotides) under Oscillospiraceae bacterium JHJ. RNAcentral's name for it is "Oscillospiraceae bacterium CM 6S RNA". It matches the Rfam family "6S / SsrS RNA". Rfam says of the family: E. coli 6S RNA was the first non coding RNA to be sequenced, but its function was unknown until recently. It consists of 184 nucleotides that fold into an extended hairpin structure with a large single-stranded internal bulge. The record is from RNAcentral. Lineage: Bacteria; Bacillati; Bacillota; Clostridia; Eubacteriales; Oscillospiraceae.